RNAcentral lists this ribosomal RNA (446 nucleotides) under uncultured bacterium. Its description in RNAcentral is "SSU rRNA". It matches the Rfam family "Bacterial small subunit ribosomal RNA", at positions 26 to 518 of the family's 1533-position model. The record is from RNAcentral.
AGAGCGAACGCUGGCGGCAGGCUUAACACAUGCAAGUCGAACGGACCCUUCGGGGUUAGUGGCGGACGGGUGAGUAACACGUGGGAACGUGCCUUUUGGUUCGGAACAACUCAGGGAAACUUGAGCUAAUACCGGAUGUGCCCUUCGGGGGAAAGAUUUAUCGCCAUUAGAGCGGCCCGCGUCUGAUUAGCUAGUUGGUGAGGUAAAGGCUCACCAAGGCGACGAUCAGUAGCUGGUCUGAGAGGAUGACCAGCCACAUUGGGACUGAGACACGGCCCAAACUCCUACGGGAGGCAGCAGUGGGGAAUCUUGCGCAAUGGGCGAAAGCCUGACGCAGCCAUGCCGCGUGAAUGAUGAAGGUCUUAGGAUUGUAAAAUUCUUUCACCGGGGACGAUAAUGACGGUACCCGGAGAAGAAGCCCCGGCUAACUUCGUGCCAGCAGCCGC